AUGCCCCAAAUGGCAUCCCACUCCACAGCUCAGAAAGCAAAGAUAGACCCGAAACCCACUCUGUUCAACCGUUUUUCAAACUGACUCCCGGCUCCCUGAAGCAUUGUCAUUCUGCAAUGUCAAUGGGAUAGUCUGGCAAGAGACAUUGUACA
Molecule: non-coding RNA, 152 nt
Organism: Callorhinus ursinus (northern fur seal)
Lineage: Eukaryota; Metazoa; Chordata; Mammalia; Carnivora; Otariidae
Source: RefSeq, a predicted model, not a curated record